This is a long non-coding RNA of Acipenser ruthenus (sterlet), 1262 nucleotides long. RefSeq lists it as uncharacterized. NCBI's taxonomy places the organism in Eukaryota, Metazoa, Chordata, Actinopteri, Acipenseriformes, Acipenseridae. The record is from RefSeq and is a predicted model, not a curated record. The transcript has 3 exons.
UUAAAAAACGUGAACAUGGGUACUCCAUGCUUUUUUAUUUUUAAUAAUCUCUAUUUUUUCAACAGUAAGUCCCUUUUGUCAUUGUAUAGUAGUGUUUAUUUGUUUUCACCCAGUGAACCCCUUUUUGAUUUCUUGUUGUUUUGUGUAGAAACCUUUUAUUUGGCCAUUGUGACUAUUUUGUGUUUAGGCUAUUUGUUUAAUUGAAGUCUUUUGUUUAACUGCAACCUUGCUAUUCUGUCACAAAUGCUCUUUUUUCAGGUUCAGAUGGAACCCUUGUUUAGAAGAAAGGCUGAUGGCAGCUCAACCUGACUGAUACAAAGUGAUCCAUAAGCUGGUAUCGCCCCAGAAGGUUCAACCAUCUCUGAUGACUGGUGCUGAACUGAGCGACCAAGAACUACAGAAAAAUCGUACCUUCUUAUACUGGACCAUGCAAAUACACAGGGGAACUAAUUGGUGUGGAGUAUUUGUACAAUCAGUUCUCCGUGACGACGGUGCCAUGAUUGAGAGGUUGGAGGCUGGCUCUGAUCUGUCUAUUGAAUUGGAGGAAGAUGAGGGAUUUGCUGACACCGAAGGGUUUCAGGAUCUAACAGUUCCUACACUGGACAGAGAACCUUCCUGCAGCUGUUUGUUAAAUUGCUCGUUUCAAGUUGCGAUGUAGCCUAUGAGAAUCGAAAGCACAAUUCAAGGGGAAUUAGCUCAAAUGGUAGAGCGCUCGCUUUGCAUGCAAGAAAUAGCGGGAUCGAUGCUCGCAUUUUCCAAAUAGUUUGAAUGUAUCUGCAUAUUUAGUCCCAACGCAUUAUGGAGAUACAUACAGUGUGACAAUUCUUUGUAACAGAGUCGCCCGCCCUACAUGUGUAUUUAAAAGCAGUCUUCUAAUUUGUAAUAUUCCCCAGACUGAAAAACUGCAGUGCUCCCUCCAUCGUAUGCCUUCCGAGAAGCACAAAGGGAGAUUUUUUUUUUUAACAAUUGAAGGGUUUCUAUUAAUUGAGAAUAUUUUGAAGAGUUUGUGUUAAUUGAAAAUAUAAAUGGUUUGAAGUUUGCUUUCAUUUGUAACAUGCUUGUAAUGAAAUAUCAGUGUGGUUCUUUUAAUUACCUCAUUGUACUGUAUACUAGCUACUGUUGCAUGUCCAUGAUUUUGCUUCUCAGCUUCCCAUAUGGUCUAGUGGUAGGGAUUCCUGGUUUUCACCCAGGCGGCCUGGGUUCGACUCCCGGUAUGGGAAUGUUUUUGUUAUUCUCAUUUUGUUACAGAACAUGUGUAAUGU